GAGUUUGAUCCUGGCUCAGGAUGAACGCUGGCGGUCUGCUUAACACAUGCAAGUCGAACGGAGCCUUUCGGGGCUUAGUGGCGGACGGGUGAGUAACGCGUGAGAAUCUGCCCUCAGGAUAGGGACAACAGUUGGAAACGACUGCUAAUACCUGAUGUGCCGAGAGGUGAAACUUUUUUGGCCUGAGGAUGAGCUCGCGUCUGAUUAGCUAGUUGGUGGGGUAAGAGCUUACCAAGGCGACGAUCAGUAGCUGGUCUGAGAGGAUGAUCAGCCACACUGGAACUGAGACACGGUCCAGACUCCUACGGGAGGCAGCAGUGGGGAAUUUUCCGCAAUGGGCGAAAGCCUGACGGAGCAAGACCGCGUGGGGGAUGAAGGUUUGUGGAUUGUAAACCCCUUUUGACAGGGAAGAAGUUCUGACGGUACCUGUCGAAUCAGCCUCGGCUAACUCCGUGCCAGCAGCCGCGGUAAUACGGAGGAGGCAAGCGUUACCCGGAAUUAUUGGGCGUAAAGCGUCCGUAGGUGGUUUAGUAAGUCUGCUGUUAAAGCGCGGGGCUUAACUCCGUAUAGGCAGUGGAAACUACUAGACUAGAGUGUGGUAGGGGUAGAGGGAAUUCCCAGUGUAGCGGUGAAAUGCGUAGAUAUUGGGAAGAACACCGGUGGCGAAGGCGCUCUACUGGGCCAUAACUGACACUGAUGGACGAAAGCUAGGGGAGCGAAAGGGAUUAGAUACCCCUGUAGUCCUAGCCGUAAACGAUGGAGACUAGGUGUUGGCCGUAUCGACCCGGUCAGUGCCGUAAGCUACGCGUUAAGUUU
This 816-nucleotide ribosomal RNA is filed under the name uncultured cyanobacterium. RNAcentral describes it as "bacterial SSU rRNA". It matches the Rfam family "Bacterial small subunit ribosomal RNA", at positions 9 to 867 of the family's 1533-position model. Lineage: Bacteria; Bacillati; Cyanobacteriota. The record is from RNAcentral.